Molecule: ribosomal RNA, 254 nt
Filed under: uncultured bacterium
Lineage: Bacteria
Description: partial 16S ribosomal RNA
Rfam family: Bacterial small subunit ribosomal RNA
Source: RNAcentral
UACGGGGGGAGCAAGCGUUGUUCGGAUUUACUGGGCGUAAAGGGCGCGUAGGCGGCCUCUGCAAGUCGACUGUGAAAUCUCCGGGCUUAACCCGGAAAGGUCAGCCGAUACUGCAGGGCUAGAGUGCAGAAGGGGCAACUGGAAUUCUCGGUGUAGCGGUGAAAUGCGUAGAUAUCGAGAGGAACACCUGCGGCGAAGGCGGGUUGCUGGGCUGACACUGACGCUGAGGCGCGAAAGCGUGGGGAGCGAACAGG